UCCACAUCCCAACUGUUUAUGUUUACUUAAGACACAAACAACACAUUUUAAAAACCAAAACGGGCAUUUUGACAUAACUUUGAAUGUGCUCGUCUAUUUAAGUGCAAUAGUCCUAAACCACGGAAAAGUCUGCGGGCUUUGAGCGUGUGGGUACAGAAACAACUCUCUGUCAGACCGCAAUUGUCCUUAAAAUGCUUUGACAACCAGCAGUUUGCUCGUUUGCGCGCGCGUGUGCUUGAAGCGGGAGUGUGGCCCGAGGUCUGACUUGAUCCUGUCACGCUAGAUGUCACAUUCACUGUCGCUUGAGGUGAUAGAGAUGGUAGAGGGAACGGCCUUGUUGGAGAGACUGACCUCCGGGCUUGAGGCGGGACCCAGUCGAUCUCCUGUGGUGUCAUCGUCCCCCAGCGAUCUGAUCGAGACACCAGACAGAACCUGCUGCUGGAGCCUACAGGGACGAAGAAAGACAAUCAGUGUCCAGCCAUGGCAUUGUCCCGUUUGGAUGUAAUCUGGGAUUUGUGGUAACGGAGAAGACCUCUUAUCCUCUGACCCUUCUGGCUUAUCUAUGGCUCGGUCUCUGUCUCUCUCAAUGUUUUCCAGCAGGGAUAAACAAGAUCCAUUCCUCAAUGCUACAAAAUCUCCAAGUCAUCUUUAAAUAUUUGUUUUUAGUUUGUGAUUAUAUUUGAUUUGAAUUUUCAACAUCUUACAGUUGCAUAUACUGUAAAAUAUCCUUAUGAUGCGCAAUUGCAAUAUAAUAAACUUGUCACAUAUAUGCAUCACACAAACAAAGUAAAGAUCUGUCCCCGGAUUUAAAUUAGCAUGGUGAUUAGCAUUUGCAUCACAGGAAUUAAACAACAAACAACCCCCUUAGCUUUUAAACCAUAAUGCAAUAUCUAGUCUAUCCCAGACACAAAUGAGCCAUUUUGGUCUACAUUAACUGUUACCUAGCAACGAGACACACCAGGGCCGGAGAAGCUCCACUUGCCCCUGUUCUGAAAAUCACAAAUCAGUCAAAACCUUAGUAUGACUUAAUGUGGUGACCUGUGUGUUCCUCAAAUUUAACUGACUAUGCUUUUGCUCUGCAGGAUUAUUAUUCACAUAAAAACACAUAAUAAACUACAUUUAAUAAUAGACAUUUACAGAUAAUUAUGCAAUCAAUGUCUUAAAGUAUCUUACAAUGAUCCUAAGCUGCAAAAACAAGAAUUAGCUCGUAAUAUGGGUUGCCUUUGAAUUGAUUUGUAGAAAAGCAGUUUUUAAUUUAUGAUUAAAGGAUAAAGUGCAGAUGGGAAGACUAAUUCCCACUUGGUUUCCUUCAAGAUUUCCUUCAUGUCUCUAGAUCUGAUACCCAUAGGGUUGGCUCACAAAUUGGCACCCCGACUAAACAGCUCCACACCUUUUGUCUGUAAUGACAGUUAACACUAUAAAAAGCUGGGACCAGCAUUGGGUCAAAAAGGGACAAGCUAAAUUAUUGGGUUAAAUUAACCCAGAAAAUUUUUAUAUUUGACUCAACAAUUGGUUAAAACAACCCAGCAUUUUUAGCAUGUAGGCAUGAUGUCAUUUUUUUAAUAUCCACAAUGAUGUCAUUUUUUAUAUAGACAAAAAGCUGUACAAAAAUUAAUCAAGUUAUUAUUUAAAUGAGUUAUUUUUUUAGACAAUCCAGCUUGGUACAAAACAUUUUUAGACAGUGUGCAAUGAUUGUCUUACCCCCAAACAAG
This is a non-coding RNA of Misgurnus anguillicaudatus (oriental weatherfish), 1712 nucleotides long. The record is from RefSeq and is a predicted model, not a curated record. NCBI's taxonomy places the organism in Eukaryota, Metazoa, Chordata, Actinopteri, Cypriniformes, Cobitidae.